AUUUUAUCAAAAAUUUCGUUUGAUCGUGUUCUUUCUCUUCCUCUCUCUCUCACUCUCUGUCCCAAAAAUAUUUAACCCAGAUACGAACAACGAUCCGUGUGCCAAGAAUAUUUCAUUCGAUUCCUUUUUUUUCUCUAAUUUUCGAAUCCAGUGGACCUGAAUCGCAAACACAAGGUGUCCCUUAGAGGCGCCAGCAGUGGAGAGAUAUCACGGGAUGCUUUGCUUGCUAAAGUGUCUCAAGAGAGGGAGCUACGCAGUUAUGCAAGACGUGCUAAUGCUGCAGCUAUUUAUAUUCAGAGAGUUUGGAGGUCUUAUAUUGUGAGAAAGAAGGCAGCUAUAGAGAUCCAAGAGGAGUGGGAGAUUUUACUGAGUUGCCGUUCUGAUGCACUGACCAAGAGUUGGGUAUCAAGCAUAGUAUUGAGACCGUUCCUCUUCUUUAUCAGAUCUUUGUCUAUCCAACAUCAAAAGAUACAGUCAAGAAAUAUACACUACAUCCAAACUUGCUUUAAGAUUCUAUUGGAAAGCAUCAACUCUAAUGGUAUGCUUUUUUUUUGUUUAGAAUAUUUGGGAAAAAUGCAAGGCAAAUCAUAUUAAUGUAUUAAUGUUUUAUUAUGUUUUGUAUGUUUGAAAAUUAAUAAAAAUGGAAUAUUUUUUUAAUU
Long non-coding RNA from Camelina sativa (false flax), 659 nucleotides. RefSeq lists it as uncharacterized. The record is from RefSeq and is a predicted model, not a curated record. Lineage: Eukaryota; Viridiplantae; Streptophyta; Magnoliopsida; Brassicales; Brassicaceae.